This 46-nucleotide non-coding RNA is filed under the name Schistosoma margrebowiei. The record is from RNAcentral. Lineage: Eukaryota; Metazoa; Platyhelminthes; Trematoda; Strigeidida; Schistosomatidae.
ACACUGCUGAGGAGUCCCACAAUAGGACAAAACAGCCGUCCAGUGC